RNAcentral lists this transfer RNA (76 nucleotides) under Bacillota bacterium. RNAcentral describes it as "tRNA-Lys". It matches the Rfam family "tRNA". From Rfam's summary of the family: Transfer RNA (tRNA) molecules are approximately 80 nucleotides in length. Their secondary structure includes four short double-helical elements and three loops (D, anti-codon, and T loops). The record is from RNAcentral. RNAcentral also lists the same sequence under 1 other name. Lineage: Bacteria; Bacillati; Bacillota.
GGACCAUUAGCUCAAUCGGUAGAGCAUCCGACUCUUAAUCGGGGGGUUAAAGGUUCGAGUCCUUUAUGGUCCACCA